GGGGAUUUAGCUCAGUGGUAGAGCACUUGCCUAGCAAGCGCAAGGCCCUAAGCUCCGGGGAAAAAAAAGAAAAGAAGAAUCUCCU
This 85-nucleotide transfer RNA is filed under the name Rattus norvegicus (Norway rat). It matches the Rfam family "tRNA". Rfam says of the family: Transfer RNA (tRNA) molecules are approximately 80 nucleotides in length. Their secondary structure includes four short double-helical elements and three loops (D, anti-codon, and T loops). The record is from Rfam by way of RNAcentral. Lineage: Eukaryota; Metazoa; Chordata; Mammalia; Rodentia; Muridae.